CAUAUUCUCCACGAGGAAGGGUGAGAACCCUUGACCAGGGUUCGACAGCCGCCACCGGCGGCUGGACGAUGCGCCCAGCGCAUCGCCCGCAGGGCGAGCCGGGCAACGCCCGGUGAGUCAAUCCCUUCCUCACCGCCA
Regulatory RNA element from Shimwellia blattae, 138 nucleotides. It matches the Rfam family "RtT RNA". From Rfam's summary of the family: This family represents a bacterial cis-regulatory element known as RtT RNA. The exact function of RtT is unknown although it is thought that it may be involved in changing the cellular response in relation to amino acid starvation. Lineage: Bacteria; Pseudomonadati; Pseudomonadota; Gammaproteobacteria; Enterobacterales; Enterobacteriaceae. The record is from Rfam.